AGUGAACGCUGGCGGUAGGCCUAACACAUGCAAGUCGAACGGCAGCACAGUAAGAGCUUGCUCUUACGGGUGGCGAGUGGCGGACGGGUGGGGAAUACAUCGGAAUCUACUUUUUCGUGGGGGAUAACGUAGGGAAAGUUACGCUAAUACCGCAUACGCCCUACGGGUGAAAGCAGGGGAUCUUCGGAGCUUUCGCGAUUGAAGGAGCCGAUGUCGGGUUAGCUAGUUGGGGGGGUAAAGGCCCACCAAGGCGACGAUCCGUAGCUGGUCUGGGAGGAUGAUCAGCCACACUGGAACUGAGACACGGUCCAGACUCCUACGGGAGGCAGCAGUGGGGAAUAUUGGACAAUGGGCGCAAGCCUGAUCCAGCCAUGCCGCGUGGGUGAAGAAGGCCUUCGGGUUGUAAAGCCCUUCUGUUGGGAAAGAAAAGCAGCAGGUUAAUACCCCGCUGUUCUGACGGUACCCAAAGAAGAAGCACCGGCUAACUUCGUG
Molecule: ribosomal RNA, 492 nt
Filed under: uncultured bacterium
Lineage: Bacteria
Description: partial 16S ribosomal RNA
Rfam family: Bacterial small subunit ribosomal RNA
Source: RNAcentral